GGGAUAGGAGAAUUGGAGGGCAAGUUUGGUGCCAGCAGCCGCGGUAAUACCGACUCCAAGAGUGUGUAUGAGAGAUGCUGCAGUUAAAAAGUCCGUAGUCAUAGAAGGGCAAAGAGAGAUGCGAGGUCUCACAGUGCGAUGAUGGAGGAGCCGAUGGGGAACAUAGUAUACCAGGGCGAGAGAUGAAAUGCCAAGACCCCUGGUGGACUGAGCGAGGCGAAGGCGAUGUUCUUGUAGGCAUUCGGUGAUCAAGGACGAAGGCUGGAGUAUCGAAAGUGAUUAGAUACCGCAGUAGUUCCAGCAGUAAAAGAUGCCGACAUGCUCAUUGGACACAGUGGGCAGGGAGAAAUCUUAGAGUUCGGGCUCUGGGGAUAGUAUGCUCGCAAGGGUGAAAAUUAAAGAAAUUGACGGAGCUACACCACAAGGAGUGGAUUGUGCGGCUUAAUUUGACUCAACGCGAGGAAACUUACCAGGGCCAAGUAUUGUGUAGAAACGAGCAAUACAGGAGUGGUGCAUGGUCGUUGGAAAUUGAUGGGAUGACUUUGACCUUAAAUGGUUGAAUGAGUGAGAUCUUUUGGACAUGUUCCGCACGGAACAGGAAGGAAAAGGCUAUAACAGAUCCGAGAUGCCCUCAGAUGCCCUGGGCUGCACGCGCAAUACAAUAGCAGGUAGAGAGAGAGACAGGAAGGUGCUCAGAUGGACUAUGUGCUGUAAGGCACAUACGAAAGAGGAA
This 733-nucleotide ribosomal RNA is filed under the name Vittaforma corneae. RNAcentral describes it as "SSU rRNA". It matches the Rfam family "Microsporidia small subunit ribosomal RNA", at positions 362 to 1133 of the family's 1311-position model. The record is from RNAcentral. Lineage: Eukaryota; Fungi; Microsporidia; Nosematidae.